AUUGAACGCUGGCGGCAUGCUUUACACAUGCAAGUCGAACGGUAACAGGGUGCUUGCACCGCUGACGAGUGGCGAACGGGUGAGUAAUGCGUCGGAACGUGCCGAGUAGUGGGGGAUAACGCAGCGAAAGUUGUGCUAAUACCGCAUACGUACUGAGGUAGAAAGUGGGGGACCUUCGGGCCUCACGCUAUUCGAGCGGCCGACGUCUGAUUAGCUAGUAGGUGAGGUAAAGGCUCACCUAGGCGACGAUCAGUAGCGGGGCUGAGAGGAUGGUACGACACACUUGGACGGAGACACGGCACAGACUCCGACGGGGGGCAGCAGUGGGGAAUUUUGGACAAUGGGCGAGAGCCUGAUCCAGCCAUGCCGCGUGUCUGAAGAAGGCCUUCGGGUUGUAAAGGACUGUUGUCAGGGAGGAAAUCCCUAGUGCUAAUAACACUGGGGGAUGACAGUACCUGAAGAAUAAGCACCGGCUAACUACGUGCCAGCCGCCGCAGUAA
Molecule: ribosomal RNA, 500 nt
Filed under: uncultured bacterium
Lineage: Bacteria
Description: partial 16S ribosomal RNA
Rfam family: Bacterial small subunit ribosomal RNA
Source: RNAcentral